This 523-nucleotide long non-coding RNA is filed under the name Malus domestica (apple). RNAcentral's name for it is "long non-coding RNA (MDOM_LNC006140)". The record is from RNAcentral. Lineage: Eukaryota; Viridiplantae; Streptophyta; Magnoliopsida; Rosales; Rosaceae.
CCACUAAGGGAAGGGACAUCUAGCAAUCUCUUCUUCCCUAAGUCAUCCAUAUCAUCUUCACAAGAUACAUCCUUGGUGAAGAGACUUAGAGACAUCAAACUUUUGGUGUUUUGGAGAACUUAUCCUCAUUUCCUCAAAUCUUCAAAGGAGCACUAAAGGGAGGAAAACACAAGGAGGAUUCAAGGAGCUUGGAGGUGACUUGAAGGCCCUCCACUUAGGUGAAUCCCUUGUGUAAACAAGGAUGAGCUUCAAGGGUAAAGAAACUCUAAAUCUUUACUUAUCUUUAAUGUUGUUAAAGAGUUUAUUGGUUCACCAUAUACUAGGCUUUGAAAGUCAUGGGUUUUAUGAAUUGUUUUUGGAUGCAUGUCUACUUUAAAGUGUUAAUAGCUUGCAUGUGUAUUCAAAUGUUCAUACUUGUUCUUAGCUAGGACAAUUUUUUUCCUUCAAGCCAGCCUAGGCUCCGCCCUUGACCACUAACUCAAAUGCUUUAUCCCAGUGGAGUAUCUAGACAAGCCAAGCAUAG